Molecule: non-coding RNA, 58 nt
Filed under: Corynebacterium jeddahense
Lineage: Bacteria; Bacillati; Actinomycetota; Actinomycetes; Mycobacteriales; Corynebacteriaceae
Description: L31-Corynebacteriaceae ribosomal protein leader
Rfam family: L31-Corynebacteriaceae ribosomal protein leader
Source: RNAcentral
ACUCGGGCACGAUCCGCAGGUUCGCCGCGGAACCGACCCGUAGUUCAAUCCUGAGGGA